Molecule: transfer RNA, 89 nt
Filed under: Thermoguttaceae bacterium
Lineage: Bacteria; Pseudomonadati; Planctomycetota; Planctomycetia; Pirellulales; Thermoguttaceae
Description: tRNA-Ser
Rfam family: tRNA
About the family: Transfer RNA (tRNA) molecules are approximately 80 nucleotides in length. Their secondary structure includes four short double-helical elements and three loops (D, anti-codon, and T loops). Further hydrogen bonds mediate the characteristic L-shaped molecular structure. tRNAs have two regions of fundamental functional importance: the anti-codon, which is responsible for specific mRNA codon recognition, and the 3' end, to which the tRNAs corresponding amino acid is attached (by aminoacyl-tRNA synthetases). tRNAs cope with the degeneracy of the genetic code in two manners: having more than one tRNA (with a specific anti-codon) for a particular amino acid; and 'wobble' base-pairing, i.e. permitting non-standard base-pairing at the 3rd anti-codon position.
Source: RNAcentral
GGAGAGGUGGCUGAGUGGCCGAAAGCGACGGUUUGCUAAACCGUUGAAGGGUUUGACCCCUUCCGCAGGUUCGAAUCCUGUCUUCUCCG